UACGUAGGAUCCGAGCAUUAUCCGGAGUGACUGGGUGUAAAGAGUUGCGUAGGUGGUGUCUUAAGUAGCUAGUGAAAUCUGGUGGCCCAACCAUUUAGACUGUUAGCUAAACUGGGAUACUCGAGAGCGUCAGGGGUAACUGGAAUUUCUAGUGUAGGGUUGAAAUCCGUAGAUAUUAGAAGGAACACCGAUAGCGUAGGCAGGUUACUGGGGCGUUUCUGACACUAAGGCACGAAAGCGUAGGGAGCAA
RNAcentral lists this ribosomal RNA (250 nucleotides) under uncultured prokaryote. RNAcentral's name for it is "partial 16S ribosomal RNA". It matches the Rfam family "Bacterial small subunit ribosomal RNA", at positions 524 to 771 of the family's 1533-position model. The record is from RNAcentral.